This 253-nucleotide ribosomal RNA is filed under the name uncultured bacterium. Its description in RNAcentral is "partial 16S ribosomal RNA". It matches the Rfam family "Bacterial small subunit ribosomal RNA", at positions 524 to 776 of the family's 1533-position model. The record is from RNAcentral.
UACGUAGGGCGCAAGCGUUGUCCGGAAUUAUUGGGCGUAAAGAGCUCGUAGGCGGCUUGUCACGUCUGCUGUGAAAUCCCGGGGCUCAACCCCGGGCGUGCAGUGGAUACGGGCUGGCUAGAGGCAGGCAGGGGAGAACGGAAUUCCUGGUGUAGCGGUGAAAUGCGCAGAUAUCAGGAGGAACACCGGUGGCGAAGGCGGUUCUCUGGGCAUGUCCUGACGCUGAGGGGCGAAAGUGUGGGGAGCGAACAGG